ACACCGGCAGCUCAAGUGGUGGCCAUUUUUAUUUGGGCCUAAAGCGUUCGUAGCCGGCUUGAUAAGUCUCUGGUGAAAUCCCAUAGCUUAACUGUGGGAAUUGCUGGAGAUACUAUUAGGCUUGAGGCCGGGAGAGGUUAGGGGUACUCCCAGGGUAGGGGUGAAAUCCUAUAAUCCUGGGAGGACCACCUGUGGCGAAGGCGCCUAACUGGAACGGACCUGACGGUGAGUAACGAAAGCCAGGGGCGGC
This 250-nucleotide ribosomal RNA is filed under the name uncultured bacterium. Its description in RNAcentral is "partial 16S ribosomal RNA". It matches the Rfam family "Archaeal small subunit ribosomal RNA", at positions 473 to 721 of the family's 1478-position model. The record is from RNAcentral.